GACGAACGCUGGCGGCGUGCUUAACACAUGCAAGUCGAACGGAAAGGCCCUGCUUUUGUGGGGUGCUCGAGUGGCGAAAGGGUGAGUAACACGUGAGUAACCUGCCCUUGACUUUGGGAUAACUUCAGGAAACUGGGGCUAAUACCGGAUAGGAGCUCCUGCUGCAUGGUGGGGGUUGGAAAGAUUCGGCGGUUGGGGAUGGACUGGCGGCUUAUCAGCUUGUUGGUGGGGUAGUGGCUUACCAAGGCUUUGACGGGUAGCCGGCCUGAGAGGGUGACCGGCCACAUUGGGACUGAGAUACGGCCCAGACUCCUACGGGAGGCAGCAGUGGGGAAUAUUGCACAAUGGGCGGAAGCCUGAUGCAGCAACGCCGCUUGCGGGAUGACGGCCUUCGGGUUGUAAACCGCUUUCGCCUGUGACGAAGCGUGAGUGACGGUAAUGGGUAAAGAAGCACCGGCUAACUACGUG
This 468-nucleotide ribosomal RNA is filed under the name uncultured bacterium. Its description in RNAcentral is "partial 16S ribosomal RNA". It matches the Rfam family "Bacterial small subunit ribosomal RNA", at positions 28 to 507 of the family's 1533-position model. The record is from RNAcentral.